Molecule: non-coding RNA, 1122 nt
Organism: Cinara cedri
Lineage: Eukaryota; Metazoa; Arthropoda; Insecta; Hemiptera; Aphididae
Source: the annotation of a GenBank genome assembly
CUGCGGUUGGCUCCAGUUAUUAACAACAUCAACUUUUACUGUACUGUGGUUAUAGUACUCGUAUAGUCAUUUAGGUAGUAGUCGUAAAGUUCGUUAAACUAUAGUUAUUUUGGUUUUGGGAUUUUUUUUUUUUUUUAGAGUACCUACUUAUCUGCAUAUUUUUACCUAUGUAUCCUACAAAAAUAUGAUGACCAGAUAAAUAUAUAUACAGGUAUCUACUUCCAUUUACUUCAUUAAAUAAACACAAAACUGCUCUUAGUGCAACAAGCAGUAAAUGCCAAAUUUUCAAAAUUGAGGUUAUUUCAUUUUCGGGGUCAUUGGAUAAUUCUGCGUUUUUUUCCUUGAAUAAAACUCAGUAACUCCACUAUAAAUGCAUUUUAAAAUGGUAUCGAACAAAAUAUUGUCCAAUACCUAAAGGGGAAAAACAAUAUGUCAAUAAGUAGCACGUCCUAGAAAAUAAAGCAGUGUGUACAAUUGAAUACGUACUACUCUAGUAGUAUUAAUACUCUUUUCUUAGUAAACUGAUUUCUCGAUGUGUAUUCUGCAUAUUUAUAAUGUAAUCUUAGUUAAAACGGUUUUACAGUACGUAAGUGCCUAUAAUUUAUCUUUUAUCUAUGAAUGAUUUUACCUACUUUUCAGACACAUUUAUCGAGAUUUAUCAGAUACCUAGUCUACCUUGGUACUAGCUAUUAUACCUAACCAAUUAUGUAUUAAACAUUCUAAUAUUUUAUCAUCAAUUAUUACUAUCAGUAAAUACAAAAUGGUUAGUCAAAUAUUUUUUUAUAUUAUUUCAAUAGGUACAUUACACUUUAAACUAGGUACUUGGUAGGCUUAAAUGCAAUUUUCAGUUAAUACAAAAGAGUAAUAUAACGAAUUGUUAAUUGUUUAUGGUGUUGUGCAACACCAUAAGAAUGGGUCUAUACAUAAUUUAUACAAAAAGAAGCGAGAAAAAAAUAAUUUCAUUGGGGAAAACAAAGAAAUCGAACUAAUUUUUCCAACUAUUCAAUUUUUUGGAGAUACUGAUCGUUGCACUAAAAUAGUAUAUGCAGUAUGCAAAAACUAAAGAUAAGAUGUUGAUCUUAUUCUAAAAAUUAACAAAAAAGAUCGAAAAAAUUGCUUAAA